Molecule: ribosomal RNA, 528 nt
Filed under: uncultured Sphingomonas sp.
Lineage: Bacteria; Pseudomonadati; Pseudomonadota; Alphaproteobacteria; Sphingomonadales; Sphingomonadaceae
Description: bacterial SSU rRNA
Rfam family: Bacterial small subunit ribosomal RNA
Source: RNAcentral
UUCGGGAGGCAGCAGUGGGGAAUAUUGGACAAUGGGCGAAAGCCUGAUCCAGCAAUGCCGCGUAAGUGAAGAAGGCCUUCGGGUUGUAAAGCUCUUUUACCCGGGAAGAUAAUGACUGUACCGGGAGAAUAAGCCCCGGCUAAUUCCGUGCCAGCAGCCGCGGUAAUACGGAGGGGGCUAGCGUUUUUUGGAAUUACUGGGCGUAAAGCGCACGUAGGCGGCUUUACAAGUCAGGGGUGAAAGCCCGCGGCUCAACCGCGGAAUUGCCCUUGAGACUGUAUCGCUUGAACACGGGAGAGGUGAGUGGAAUUCCGAGUGUAGAGGUGAAAUUGGUAGAUAUUCGGAAGAACCCCAGUGGCGAAGGCGGCUCACUGGACCGUAGUUGACGUUGAGGUCGGAAAGCGUGGGGAGCAAACCGGAUUAGAUCCCCUGGUAGUCCCCCCCGUAAACGAUGAAGACUAGCUGUCAGGGUGCUUAGCACUUCGGUGGCGCAGCUAACGCAUUAAUCUUCCGCUGGGAUAGCGCCGC